Molecule: ribosomal RNA, 253 nt
Filed under: uncultured bacterium
Lineage: Bacteria
Description: partial 16S ribosomal RNA
Rfam family: Bacterial small subunit ribosomal RNA
Source: RNAcentral
UACGUAGGGGGCGAGCGUUGUCCGGAUUUAUUGGGCGUAAAGAGCGUGUCGGCGGUUCGGUAAGUCUGUCGUGAAAUCCUGAGGCUCAACCUCGGGCGUGCGAUGGAUACUGCCGGGCUAGAGGGUGGUAGAGGCGAGUGGAAUUCCCGGUGUAGCGGUGAAAUGCGCAGAUAUCGGGAGGAACACCAGUAGCGAAGGCGGCUCGCUGGGCCACACCUGACGCUGAGACACGAAAGCGUGGGGAGCAAACAGG